RNAcentral lists this long non-coding RNA (201 nucleotides) under Elaeis guineensis (African oil palm). RNAcentral's name for it is "long non-coding RNA (EGUI_LNC004379)". The record is from RNAcentral. Lineage: Eukaryota; Viridiplantae; Streptophyta; Magnoliopsida; Arecales; Arecaceae.
GUAUAAAUCAUAAGAGAUAAACAUUGAUUCAUCCAAGGAUUCAGCUAUAAGCAGAAUGGUUGAAGAGUACCAUCACAUCAACUUAAUUACUCCUGGAAACCAAUGCCAUAAGGACAGGAGACCACUCUGUACGUCAUACUUUCCCUAAAAACACCAGUUUGAACUCAUUCAUCUCUCUCUCUCUCUCUCUGAUAUUGGGAC